Molecule: long non-coding RNA, 3469 nt
Filed under: Felis catus (domestic cat)
Lineage: Eukaryota; Metazoa; Chordata; Mammalia; Carnivora; Felidae
Description: lncRNA (ENSFCAG00000041825.2)
Source: RNAcentral
CUGGAGAGCAGGUGGAAUUGUAAGCCCAGAGACACUUGUGAGUGUCAGGAUUCAGCCACACAGACUGAUAGCCUCCUUAUCACUCCCCCCCACCCCAAGCAGCCCACUUCAGUUGUACUGAAGCCAUCAGAACCUGGGAGGGGGGGGGGCGGCAGACUUUGUACUGACCCCUGUCGCCUGCUGUGCCCUCCCUGUAUCACCUCCAUUUGGGUUAUGAAAUGAUAGUUGGUUCUGGAAGACAUCAGGGAGGUGAGUGGGAAGGGGCCUCUAGAAAGGCCUGUUGACUUCCCCCAGGAAGCUCUAGAAAGGUGCCCUAGUGGUGACUGUGACCAUUCCCCAGGCAGGGCCAGGGCUGGACCCCAGUGGAAACUGGGCCUGAUCCCGGAUCACCCCCUCCCUUCCUUCUCUGAGUUUACCCAAAAAUUUGCAAGGGGAAGACUAGGAAACAACCUGGACAAAAGGAGAAGGAGGGGGAGGGGAAGAAGAAAAAGAAAACUGCCUCCAAACCUUCCCAGUGGAGAGGAGGCUAGACAGGGAAGGAUCCAGAACUUCCUGCCUCAGCAUCCCCAUGGGGAGUGUCAUCUCUUCAGCCAGGACCCAGGAAGCCGCCCCGCUCGGCGACGGCGAGGCGAGUGGCAAGCAGUCCCAGGCAGCGGCCGAGAAGCGCCCAGGACCGCAGGGCCGUAACCGGGUGCCCUUGGGCGCCAGGCGGGGACCGGAGCGGGGCGGCUGCGGCGAUCCCCGUGCCCUGGGGGCCUGGCCUGCUCUCUGCUGCCGCGUCAGGGCCAGGCCCGCGCCGGGUCAAGAGCGGCACCUGUGAGCGCCCCGAAAGCGAGGGCCUGGGGACCUCGCUGCGGAUGCGCUGCGGUGGGACCAGAGCGGGGCUGGCGGGAGGCGACUCCAGGAAAACCCGGGAAAGAAAACACCCGGAAGGCGCCCCGGGAUGGUCUGAAGCUCGCAGCAGUGCCCGCAGAGCAGGUGCCGGGAUGCAGCCGGGGCUCGGGUCCCGGACUGUGGCGGCGGGAGACCAGCGAGACCAGCGGCCCAGCGCGCGGAGCUCCGGGACCGGCGGCAGGAGGAGAAGAAGGGCCCGCAGUCACCUGGCCUGGCGUGCGAUGUCGCCAUCCCCGAGCGUCGGAGGAAGUGAAUUACAUGCGUGUGCACACACGUAAAUAUUUUAUAAGCCUCCCCUUAAUUAACCAAAUCAUUUCCAUUAUGCCUCCAAUGUGAUCAACAGCAGCGGUGUGAGGGUUUUCAGGGCUUAUAAUUCGAUGUCACCAGACGGUCGCUCGGGGGCAGAGGUACAAUCGCGGAGCCAGCUGCACUUGUAUUUAUUUGUUUUUCUACCGUGUUCCUGUAGGGCUCCAUUAUGCAGUUUUUAAUUAGUUUGUGUUUGUAUUUCACCCGUCCCAAAUCAAUGCCAUCCCGGAGCAAGGCGAUGUAAAUUCUCGCAGUACAGGUGUAGCUGCUGGCUUGGGAACACUCGGAAACACGCGUCUGACAAAUGAGAGCGGGCGCCACACAGCCCACUGUCGGCUCCUGGCAGCCAAGAGGCGCAGACCAAAGCCAGCGGGGACUUGUGCGCCCCUGUGAGCGCCAAGCCCGCGUGCUGGGUUCCUAAUUCCAGUAGAGGGAGCCGCACAGAGCAAGGCGUGGGGGGCAAAGUGACUUUUCAUUUUGCCCGAGUCCUGCGGUCCUUGGGCCUAGUGGGCGAGGCUGGAGCCCGCGUGCAAUUAUCCUAGCUCCCCCCGGAAGAUCACUGUGGCACCUGUCGGGUUCCGUGGAGCCUUUUAACAGGACCCAAGGCAGACAGCCCGAAUUUCUGGAAUCUCCAGGCAUGAGGACCGCCUCCCCACACCCCCGCCCCCUUGUGCUGGCUGUCUCUUCCUUCUUGAAAUGACCUCUGUGGAGUGCCUGUAAAUCUAUCCCUCCAGCCACGGGGGAAUUCUUUUAAAGCUUUCUUUUUUGUCAGGAAUAAGAGAUUGUUCAUCUUUAACUAGACCACAUAGAAAUUAUGAUUCAACAGCAGUGUGUAUUUAAUUAGAGUAAUCUCACUUGAAUUUAAUUACCUAAUGAAUUAUUUGUUUAAAAGGUAGAAUGUCUUGUUUGCCAAGUGCGGUGCAGACCUCCGAUAAGAACUUCUGUUAUAAGGACAUUACAGCUUAAAAGCAGUCAUGUGUUAAGGUUUAUAUUUUAACUCCUUGAGUGUGUAACUGUUAACUGUUAACGUGCUACUCGCACAAAAGCUCUGAUACGGAAGGGUGCCGGGAGAGCACGCACAGAUUCUGUUCUGUGCCCACAUCCUUUUGGAAAUUGGCAUCCUCUACCUUGCCACCUGAGCCUAUUUUUAAACUUCCUGCAUUUUGCUUUCAGUGACACUUUCCUUUUUUCUGCUGCACGAUGACAGCUGUCUAUUAGAGGGCUCAUUUUAUGAUUAGUAUUUGCAAUGAAGGGCACAUCCUUCAGCAAAACUCCCGCCCAGCUCCACUGUGUCCCAGAGGCACCCACAAUAGCAGCAGGAAGCCUUUCUGGGCUCAUCAAACCUCAUGGGAAUGGAAGGUACCAAGGCCCAGACUUUGACCUUAACCCUUCAUUCCUAAACCAUGGAAGAAUCUCCUUGCCUCUUGGUUUCCAAAAGCAAGAGCCCAGAACUCUAGGCCACGCCACCCUUUCUGGGAGGCUCACAAGUUGACUCGUCUCUCGGUAAUGCUAACGAUUUUUGCAGCUAAUGCCAAGUUCGAAAUCCCAGCCAAGGGAGGAGGGUGACGUGCUGGAAGUCUAACAUGAUUUCUGUGUUUUUCUGUGGCUAAGUGACUACAGGAGCAGACUGCUUCUCCUCCUCUAUCCCGUGUGAUGGACAGAAUCGUCUGUCCCUGUGUGAUGGAAUUUCAGCAGAGGAAUGAAUGGAUAGGGUGAGGGAGGCAGCAGGAAAUGUUUCGCCCACUCACUGAAGAGAGACCAGGAAAUAAGAACGCCUGAAAUCUGCUGGAUUGAAUUCCACUGUCAUUUUCAUUAAUAUUUCAUCAAUCAAAUAAUUUACUUUAAUUGCAGAUUCGGGCACUAUUAUCACAUAAAUAUUAAAUAGUAUUAAUAUAGUGUCCAUCUAAGUAAGAAUGAGCUUAUAAGAAAGUACAACACGUUGAUAAGAAUUGUGAAUUUCUUGUUUCUUUCCUGUAUCCCUGAUGUGUAUCAUAACUGUGCAUUUUGCAGCUGGGUGUCCCAACAACCAAUAGCGGUUAAAUUGUAAUAUAAAUUUGGGACUCCUGCGUGGCUCAGUCGAUGAAGCGUCCGACCCUGGCUCAGGUCAUGAUCUCAAGGUUCGUGAGUUUGAGCCCCGCGUCGGGCUCUGUGCUGACAGCUCAGAGCCUGGAGCCUGCUUCGGAUUCUGUGUCCCCCUCUCUGUCUGCCCCUCCCUCACUCGCACUCUGUCCCUCUCUGUCUCUCAAAAAUAAACAUUAAAAAAAUUACA